UACGUAGGGGGCUAGCGUUGUCCGGAAUCAUUGGGCGUAAAGCGCGUGUAGGCGGUUCGGUAAGUCCGCUGUGAAAGUCGGGGGCUCAACCCUCGGAUGCCGGUGGAUACUGUCGGACUAGAGUACGGAAGAGGCGAGUGGAAUUCCUGGUGUAGCGGUGAAAUGCGCAGAUAUCAGGAGGAACACCGAUUGCGAAGGCAGCUCGCUGGGACGUUACUGACGCUGAGGUGCGAAAGCGUGGGGAGCAAACAGG
This 253-nucleotide ribosomal RNA is filed under the name uncultured bacterium. RNAcentral describes it as "partial 16S ribosomal RNA". It matches the Rfam family "Bacterial small subunit ribosomal RNA", at positions 524 to 776 of the family's 1533-position model. The record is from RNAcentral.